CGUAGGCUCACGAGCUGGUUGGGCACUACAGCCACUCCUGCCUCUGGUGGUUUGGCCCCUGGUGUCCCAUUCUGCGGCUCUUCCACCCGGAGGCCAUUAAGCCCGUGCUGCUGGAGUCAGCUGACGUUGCGCCCAAGGACUACAUGUUCUAUGGCUUCCUAAAGCCCUGGCUGGGGGAUGGCUUGCUGCUGAGCAAUGGUCGGAAAUGGGCCCGGCACCGGCGCAUGCUGACGCCCGCCUUUCACUUCGAAAUCCUCAAGCCCUAUGUGAAGAUCUUCAACCAGAGCACUGACAUCAUGCACGUGAGUGCGCCCGCCGUGCCAAAGCCAUCCCUGGGGCCCUGCCCCCCG
Molecule: non-coding RNA, 350 nt
Organism: Pelodiscus sinensis (Chinese soft-shelled turtle)
Lineage: Eukaryota; Metazoa; Chordata; Testudines; Trionychidae
Source: RefSeq, a predicted model, not a curated record